AUGCAGCGACGCCGCGUGAGGGAUGACGGCCUUCGGGUUGUAAAUCUCUUUUCAGGCAGGGCGAAGCGCAAGUGACGGUACCUGCAGAAGAAGCGCCGGCCAACUACGUGCCAGCAGCCGCGGUAAGACGUAGGGCGCGAGCGUUGUCCGGAUUUAUUGGGCGUAAAGAGCUCGUAGGCGGCUUGUCGCGUCGACUGUGAAAACCCGCGGCUCAACCGCGGGCCUGCAGCCGAUACGGGCAGGCUAGAGUUCGGUAGGGGAGACUGGAAUUCCUGGUGUAGCGGUGAAAUGCGCAGAUAUCAGGAGGAACACCGGUGGCGAAGGCGGGUCUCUGGGCCGAUACUGACGCUGAGGAGCGAAAGCGUGGGGAGCGAACAGGAUUAGAUACCCUGGUAGUCCACGCUGUAAACGUUGGGCGCUAGGUGUGGGGGACCUCUCCGGUUCUCUGUGCCGCAGCUAACGCAUUAAGCGCCCCGCCUGGGGAGUACGGCCGCAAGGCUA
This 501-nucleotide ribosomal RNA is filed under the name uncultured Actinomycetes bacterium. Its description in RNAcentral is "bacterial SSU rRNA". It matches the Rfam family "Bacterial small subunit ribosomal RNA", at positions 386 to 896 of the family's 1533-position model. The record is from RNAcentral. Lineage: Bacteria; Bacillati; Actinomycetota; Actinomycetes.